UAAGAGGUCCAGCCUGCCCUGUGACUAUAUGUUUAACGGCCGCGGUAUUUUAACCGUGCGAAGGUAGCGCAAUCACUUGUCUUUUAAAUGGAGACCUGUAUGAAUGGCAUAACGAGGGCUUAACUGUCUCCUUUUUCAAGUCAAUGAAAUUGAUCUCCCCGUGCAGAAGCGGGGAUACACCCAUAAGACGAGAAGACCCUAUGGAGCUUAAGACGCCAAGGCAUAUCAUGUUAAACACCCCUAAACAAAGGGCCAAACCAAGUGAUAACGUAUGCCCCUAAUGUCUUUGGUUGGGGCGACCGCGGGGAAACAAAAAACCCCCACGUGGAAUGGGAGCACCCCUCCUACAACCAAGAGCUGCAGCUCUAAUAAACAGAAUUUCUGACCAAUAAGAUCCGGCAACGCCGAUCAACGGACCGAGUUACCCUAGGGAUAACAGCGCAAUCCCCUUUAAGAGCCCAUAUCGACAAGGGGGUUUACGACCUCGAUGUUGGAUCAGGACAUCCUAAUGGUGCAGCCGCUAUUAAGGGUUCGUUUGUUCAACG
RNAcentral lists this ribosomal RNA (545 nucleotides) under Ruvettus pretiosus (oilfish). RNAcentral describes it as "partial 16S large subunit ribosomal RNA". It matches the Rfam family "Bacterial large subunit ribosomal RNA", at positions 1846 to 2586 of the family's 2925-position model. Lineage: Eukaryota; Metazoa; Chordata; Actinopteri; Scombriformes; Gempylidae. The record is from RNAcentral.